This 484-nucleotide ribosomal RNA is filed under the name uncultured bacterium. RNAcentral's name for it is "partial 16S ribosomal RNA". It matches the Rfam family "Bacterial small subunit ribosomal RNA", at positions 28 to 523 of the family's 1533-position model. The record is from RNAcentral.
GACGAACGCUGGCGGCGUGCUUAACACAUGCAAGUCGAACGAUGAACCCGGAGCUUGCCCCGGUGGAUUAGUGGCGAACGGGUGAGUAACACGUGAGUAACCUGCCCUUGACUCUGGGAUAACUGCGGGAAACUGUAGCUAAUACCGGAUACGACCCUCGGCGGCAUCGCCAGGGGGUGGAAAGAAUUUCGGUCAGGGAUGGACUCGCGGCCUAUCAGCUAGUUGGUGAGGUAACGGCUCACCAAGGCGACGACGGGUAGCCGGCCUGAGAGGGUGACCGGCCACCCUGGGACUGAGACACGGCCCGGACUCCUACGGGAGGCAGCAGUGGGGAAUAUUGCACAAUGGGCGCAAGCCUGAUGCAGCAACGCCGCGUGAGGGAUGACGGCCUUCGGGUUGUAAACCUCUUUUAGUAGGGAAGAAGCGAAAGUGACGGUACCUGCAGAAGAAGCACCGGCUAACUACGUGCCAGCAGCCGCAGUAA